RNAcentral lists this transfer RNA (90 nucleotides) under Myxococcales bacterium. Its description in RNAcentral is "tRNA-Ser". It matches the Rfam family "tRNA". Rfam says of the family: Transfer RNA (tRNA) molecules are approximately 80 nucleotides in length. The record is from RNAcentral. Lineage: Bacteria; Pseudomonadati; Myxococcota; Myxococcia; Myxococcales.
GGAGGGGUGGCCGAGUGGUUGAAGGCGAUGGAUUCGAAAUCCAUUGUAGGUUUACGCUUACCGCGGGUUCGAAUCCCGCCUCCUCCGCCA